RNAcentral lists this long non-coding RNA (1014 nucleotides) under Gossypium barbadense (sea-island cotton). RNAcentral's name for it is "long non-coding RNA (GBAR_LNC006966)". Lineage: Eukaryota; Viridiplantae; Streptophyta; Magnoliopsida; Malvales; Malvaceae. The record is from RNAcentral.
UCUCUUUUCCAACAAUUUCACCAAUCAAGUAAUUAUCAACAAACAUAUUUCCAAUAUUAUUAUAAAAUAUCAUAAUACAAGUAAAAUUGAUGUAUUACUUACAUAUAAACUUACAUCUCAUUUAAUAUCAAGGCAAUAACAUUAAAUUACACAUUGCAUUAUUAAAAAUCUAUGAACUUACAAUUGCUCAUAAUAUCCAUAAUCAUAGAAAUCACAUUUAUGUAUGAUAAUUCAAUGCACUUCAUGUACCAUAGACAUUUUCAAAUCAAUUCAUAAACUUGGCACCAUAAACAUUUAAUUUAACAUAAUUAAAUUAAUUCACUAAAUUUAACUUACAAAUAUAAAUUGCCACAUUAUGGCAGUAUUAUUAUCAUACCAACUUACCUCAAAUGCUGAAACGACUAACUUUCCUGACUUAGCACAUAACUUUGUUCUUCCCCGAUCUUAAUCCAAAAUUUCAUGUUUUCUUGAUCUAACAUGUCAAAUAACACUUAUUUAACACAUUUUAUCAACACACUAACCAAUCCAAUUCAUAUAUCAAAUUUUGGAAAAUUUACAAUUAUGCCCCUUAACUUUUCAAAAAUUAUGCUUUUACCCCUAGGCUCGUAAAAUAAUUUUUAUUAAAUUUCUAUAAGGUUUAAGACAUGCUGAACAUUUUUCUCUUCUAUGGUGACUCCAAAUUUUCACUAAUUCACACACUUAUGACCAAUUUAUAACUUUUACAAUUUAACCCCUUUUUGACAUUUUUACCGAAAUUCAUCGAAUAAAACUCGUAUUUAACACAUCAAACAUUCAUUAUCUACUAUAAAUCAUCAAAACACAACCAUAUCAUGAAUGGGUAAAUUUUUAAACUCUAAUUUCUCUUCAAUCAAUUGGUAGAAAUAGAAAAUUUAAGCUUCGGGGAUAUCAAAAAUACGAAAAUCAUUAAAAAUGGGACAAAAACCGUACCUAUAUAAGCCAUAGAAGCUUAGCCGAAUGGAGCUCAUCCAUGGCUGCCAUUUUUGGUUCUUUCCC